This 1540-nucleotide ribosomal RNA is filed under the name Klebsiella aerogenes. RNAcentral's name for it is "bacterial SSU rRNA". It matches the Rfam family "Bacterial small subunit ribosomal RNA". The record is from RNAcentral. Lineage: Bacteria; Pseudomonadati; Pseudomonadota; Gammaproteobacteria; Enterobacterales; Enterobacteriaceae.
AAAUUGAAGAGUUUGAUCAUGGCUCAGAUUGAACGCUGGCGGCAGGCCUAACACAUGCAAGUCGAGCGGUAACACAGAGAGCUUGCUCUCGGGUGACGAGCGGCGGACGGGUGAGUAAUGUCUGGGAAACUGCCUGAUGGAGGGGGAUAACUACUGGAAACGGUAGCUAAUACCGCAUAACGUCGCAAGACCAAAGUGGGGGACCUUCGGGCCUCAUGCCAUCAGAUGUGCCCAGAUGGGAUUAGCUAGUAGGUGGGGUAAUGGCUCACCUAGGCGACGAUCCCUAGCUGGUCUGAGAGGAUGACCAGCCACACUGGAACUGAGACACGGUCCAGACUCCUACGGGAGGCAGCAGUGGGGAAUAUUGCACAAUGGGCGCAAGCCUGAUGCAGCCAUGCCGCGUGUAUGAAGAAGGCCUUCGGGUUGUAAAGUACUUUCAGCGAGGAGGAAGGCGUUAAGGUUAAUAACCUUGGUGAUUGACGUUACUCGCAGAAGAAGCACCGGCUAACUCCGUGCCAGCAGCCGCGGUAAUACGGAGGGUGCAAGCGUUAAUCGGAAUUACUGGGCGUAAAGCGCACGCAGGCGGUCUGUCAAGUCGGAUGUGAAAUCCCCGGGCUCAACCUGGGAACUGCAUUCGAAACUGGCAGGCUAGAGUCUUGUAGAGGGGGGUAGAAUUCCAGGUGUAGCGGUGAAAUGCGUAGAGAUCUGGAGGAAUACCGGUGGCGAAGGCGGCCCCCUGGACAAAGACUGACGCUCAGGUGCGAAAGCGUGGGGAGCAAACAGGAUUAGAUACCCUGGUAGUCCACGCCGUAAACGAUGUCGACUUGGAGGUUGUGCCCUUGAGGCGUGGCUUCCGGAGCUAACGCGUUAAGUCGACCGCCUGGGGAGUACGGCCGCAAGGUUAAAACUCAAAUGAAUUGACGGGGGCCCGCACAAGCGGUGGAGCAUGUGGUUUAAUUCGAUGCAACGCGAAGAACCUUACCUACUCUUGACAUCCAGAGAACUUAGCAGAGAUGCUUUGGUGCCUUCGGGAACUCUGAGACAGGUGCUGCAUGGCUGUCGUCAGCUCGUGUUGUGAAAUGUUGGGUUAAGUCCCGCAACGAGCGCAACCCUUAUCCUUUGUUGCCAGCGGUCCGGCCGGGAACUCAAAGGAGACUGCCAGUGAUAAACUGGAGGAAGGUGGGGAUGACGUCAAGUCAUCAUGGCCCUUACGAGUAGGGCUACACACGUGCUACAAUGGCAUAUACAAAGAGAAGCGACCUCGCGAGAGCAAGCGGACCUCAUAAAGUAUGUCGUAGUCCGGAUUGGAGUCUGCAACUCGACUCCAUGAAGUCGGAAUCGCUAGUAAUCGUAGAUCAGAAUGCUACGGUGAAUACGUUCCCGGGCCUUGUACACACCGCCCGUCACACCAUGGGAGUGGGUUGCAAAAGAAGUAGGUAGCUUAACCUUCGGGAGGGCGCUUACCACUUUGUGAUUCAUGACUGGGGUGAAGUCGUAACAAGGUAACCGUAGGGGAACCUGCGGUUGGAUCACCUCCUUA